GACGAACGCUGGCGGCGUGCUUAACACAUGCGAGUCGAACGGAAAGGCCCUGCUUGCCGGGUACUCGAGUGGCGAACGGGUGAGUAACACGUGGGUGAUCUGCCCUGCACUUCGGGAUAAGCUUGGGAAACUGGGUCUAAUACCGGAUAGGAGCCAUCUUUAGUGUGGUGGUUGGAAAGUUUUUUCGGUGUAGGAUGAGCUCGCGGCCUAUCAGCUUGUUGGUGGGGUAAUGGCCUACCAAGGCGGCGACGGGUAGCCGGCCUGAGAGGGUGUACGGCCACAUUGGGACUGAGAUACGGCCCAGACUCCUACGGGAGGCAGCAGUGGGGAAUAUUGCACAAUGGGCGCAAGCCUGAUGCAGCGACGCCGCGUGGGGGAUGAAGGCCUUCGGGUUGUAAACUCCUUUCGCUAGGGACGAAGCUUUGUUGUGACGGUACCUAGAUAAGAAGCACCGGCUAACUACGUG
Molecule: ribosomal RNA, 466 nt
Filed under: uncultured bacterium
Lineage: Bacteria
Description: partial 16S ribosomal RNA
Rfam family: Bacterial small subunit ribosomal RNA
Source: RNAcentral